This 77-nucleotide microRNA precursor is filed under the name Schistosoma mansoni. RNAcentral's name for it is "mir-3492 microRNA precursor family". It matches the Rfam family "mir-3492 microRNA precursor family". Lineage: Eukaryota; Metazoa; Platyhelminthes; Trematoda; Strigeidida; Schistosomatidae. The record is from Rfam by way of RNAcentral.
AGCCUUCUGUUUUGUGCUGUGAUCUCGUCACACACCAGAACACAAGGGCUGAUGAGACUCCCAAGAUAAGUGAAGCG